RNAcentral lists this long non-coding RNA (1846 nucleotides) under Acanthaster planci (crown-of-thorns starfish). RNAcentral describes it as "uncharacterized LOC110986311". The record is from RNAcentral. Lineage: Eukaryota; Metazoa; Echinodermata; Asteroidea; Valvatida; Acanthasteridae.
CCUCCUGUUAACAAAGCAAUGACAAUGCUUUGGCACGGGCAAAGUGUCAGCUAUAUUGGUUAUCUUGAUCAGUUGCGAAUGAACGAAUAAAGUCUUGAGAGAAUAUUUUUAGCAAUGAAGAAGAAAAGGAAAAAUACUGCAUAUGAUAUCCGCCGCUCACGUGACACACUGAGCUCGCACGCGUGGUAGAAAUAUACCCACUAUGCUCUGUGCGUCGUUACCUGUGACUUUGUGUGACGUAUUUCCUUCACUGAAAUCUGUGGAAGGCCAUCUGCAGUAGCCAUCAGCCCUUCCUACGGGGUGCUGGGUGACGAGCGAAGUUGGCUGGCUUCCUGCGGUGCAGGGGCGGAUCCAGAAACUUUUCCGAGUGGUGCAGGCUGGAGAUUUUUUAAUGGCUCACUUUUGUGGACAAGCAGAAAUGAAGCUGAAACAUUAUACAUGCCAUACAUUGUUUACAACGUUUACAGCUGACGUAUGCUGUAGCCCCAUCGGGAAAAAAGCUUUCCCAGUCCUGGUCCCAUGGUGGGGUCACACACAGAAAUAACGAGCUCUUCAAGCACCGUAGAGGCUUCUGUAGGACCCAAGAUGACGACAACGUGUCAACGCAUCAUACGGCGUUUGACAAUAAUAGUGCGCCUCAAAGAGUUUGUAUGGAACGCACUGACCAUUCGUAAUGCACAAAAUUAGUCGACCCAAUGCGCGUUUGGAAAGGGUCGACAGAUUUUGCGUAUUGGCCAACGCGUUACAAACUCUUGGAGGGGCACUAUUGUGAAUCUCGAGGUGUUCCCCAUCUGUAUUAAAAUCCCUCGUGGGGCCUAUUGUGCAUCUCUUCAAAAGAUGGAAAAGAACUUCACCAGUGCAUCUUGAUGUAACUCCACCAGCGUUGUUGGAGGGCCUUUGCGAAAAGAUCUUAGGUCUCUUUUACAUGCUAUAGUAGUAGAGCUGGGCUAUAGUAGUUCUUUUUUGUAAACUUGACAAACUUAUUAAAGACAAAUUCAUUAUAAUAAACCUGAGAAGUUCCAAUUCAAUCCAAAAGAGAAAUUCGUUAUUACUGUCCUUUAUCAUUUCUUCCCUAUACGCUGUUGGCACUCGUGCUUUAAGCUCGCAUGGGGUUUUGGCUGGCCUGUAUUUUGCGAGAAUAAUGUCUGAUUUUCAUGAAAUUUGUAUCAAAAUGGUUGAAAGAUAUUAUACAUUAAAAAUAAUCAUGCCAAUGUGAGACGAAACCAGGGGUGGACCAAGGACCUUUUUUCGUUGGAAGUUCGAAUUCUCCCAGCCGGAGGGGGAUGCUAAAUAUGUCGCUGUUGUUGAAGCCACGUACAUAUAGCAACAAAAAAAUUCUGAGUCAUUAGCAUUGUUGAUGUACCAGCAGAGGCCUUUGUCACUGCACACACGUAUUCUUCUCGGGGACACCAGUAUAAAUUUAACAAACAAUAUGCCAGUACCAGUGCCUUGAGCAACAGCAUAGGGUAUUGUUGAAUUUGCAAAACAUCACAUGCAACCCUUAGGGCCGAACGUUUUAAAUUGUUAGUGCUCGUAAAUAAGCUACCUAAGGCACGUGACACCACUCUAUCAAACUUCAAUUACAUUUGGCCAGAACGGUAUAUUCAAUUACGAUAUCAAACUGUCCAAAGAAAUUAGACUUUUAGUCUGGUCCCACUAUUGUAACUCAAAUACUUUUAUUUACAUAUGUACAGCGUUUUUUUAUUACAAUCGUCUGAUUUGUUCGAAUCUAAAUUGAAAUCAGAAGAAUUUCAUUAAACAGUCUAAUACAUUAAAAGAAGGAGCAUCCAAAUCUAUUACUUUUCAGGGGGGAAAAAUAAAUUGGCCUGUGAUUAGAAAAUCUAAA